UAAAACUUAUUUUACCUGUUUCCUAUAUCAGACAGAGCUUGUUCCUUUGAAUCUAUCUUUUGAAGAACAAAUUUAAAUCCGACUUGAUUUUUUUUCUAGAACAACUUUAUGAAAAAGUGUGUAAGUGUUAACAAAAGUGUCAUUAAAAAUAAUUAAGAAAAUUGUGUGUAGGCCAAUUACAAUAAAUAAAUAACUUGAAAGAGUGAGAAAAAAGAAUGAAAAGACAACUUGAUAAUGAAAUAAUAAUACACACUGCAGGAAAGCCAGUUAAUUGAAGGUUUGUCAUGACCAGUGAAUGCUACUUGUAAAUCCUCUUGAGAAAAUAAUAGCCUGCUAAAAGAAGAAAAAUAAUCAAGAGAACAAGAUUGCAGAGAAGUAUAAAUUAGCAUAUAUUUGAUCUAUGCAUUGUCAAAAUAUAAUGAUCUUCUUAGCUCAUAAUAGAAGACAACAUAUCUAAAUGGACUGGUUAAUUUAAUCUAACUUAUUGCUCCAAAAUAUUAUAGCAGCCCUAAUUAAACUUUUCCUGUGUGUAUCAGGCCAUCUCCUUUUCUAGACAGCUGAUAAGCAGUUUCAUUUUAAAAUUACACCCGUUUAGAGAAUGCCCCAUCUUUGCUUUUCUUCAGAAUUUCCAUGAGUGAGCUGUCAUACAGCAGCAAUGUAGAGUGUUAGAGGACAUGUCAGAACUCUGAGAUAGCUACUCAGACCAGAAUGAGAAUGAAGAUAUCAUGAUCCUCAGGAGACCAAGCUCCCACAUUUUUGUUGCACCAACAUUAACAACAAUUGUUGCUCAUGAAGCAGGUUGCUUGCUUAGGCUCCUGAUUCCAACAUUUAUAUGCCUUCUAGGCAACAGGAAGAAGAAAAGAGAAAAAGAGAAUGAGAAGAGUAAGUUUUUUUCUAUUCAAGUACAAUUCCAGUUAGUUUCUUGCACCACUUUAUGUUAUACACACCAUACCCCAAAAUCAACUCAAGAUGAAUUAAAGAAUGAAAUUUAAAACCCCAAACUGUAAAAACCCUGGAAGACAAUCUAAGAAAUCCCAUCUGGGUCUUAGGAAUGGGAAAAGAUUUCAUAACAAAGACACCAAAAGCAAUUGCAACCAAAACAAAAAUUGACGAAUGGGAUCUAAUUAAAUUUAAGGUCUUCUGUACAGCUAAAGAAACUAUCAACAGAGUAAACAAACAUCCUACAAGAUUGGAGAAGAUAUUUGCAAACUAUACAUCUGACAAAGGUCUAAUAUCCAGCAUCUAUAAGGAACUUACAAAUUUACAAGAGAAAAACAAACAGCCCUGUUAAAAAGUGAGCAAAACACAUGACAUACAUUCUCAAAAGACUACAUACAUGCAUCCAACAAGCAUAUGAAAAACCACUCAGUAUCAUUGAAUAUUAGAGAAAUGCAAAUCAAAAUAACAAUGAGAUAUCAUCUCACACCAGUCAGAAUGGUAAUUAUUAAAAAACUAAAUAACAACCGACCCUGGUGAGGUUAUGUCAAAAAAGGAGCACUUAUAUACACUCUUGGUGGAAGUGUAAAAUAGUUCAACCAUUGUGGAAAGCAGUAGUCAAUUCCUCAAAGAGCUAAAAGCAGAAAUACCAUUUGACCCAGCAAUCCCAUUACUAAGCAUAUACCCAGAGGAAUAUAAAGCACCAGGGAUCCCAUUACUGAGCAUAUACCCAGAGGAAUAUAAAGCUUUCUACCAUAAAGACACAUGCACAUGAAUGUUUAUUGCAGCUCUAUUCACAAUAGCAGAAACAUGGAAUCAACCUAAGUGCCCAUCAAUGACAGAUUAGAUAAAGAAAAUGUGAUACAUAUACACCACGGAAUACCAUGCAGCCAGAAAAAAAUGAUGAAGUCAUUUCUGUUGUGGAAACAUGAAUGGAGCUGGAGGCGCUUAUCCUUAGCAAACUGACACAGGAACAGAAAUCCAAAUACUGCAUGUUCUCACUUAUAAGUGGGACCCAAAUGAUAAGAACUUAUGAACACAAAGAAGGAAACAACAGACACUGGAGUCCACUUGAUGGGGGAGGGUGGGAGGAGGUAGAGGACCAGAAAUUGUAACUACUGGGUACUAAUCUCAGUACCUGGUUGAUGAAAUAAUCUAUACAACAAAACCCAUGACACAUAUAACAAACCUUCACAUGUUAAAAAUCAACAUUUUUAAAGAAAUGUAGUUUCUUUAUGUAGGGCUCAAUUUAGUAACAUGCACUCACUCAGAAUAAGAUAAUGUCUAAUUAAUUAAGCAAUACAAAUUUGUGAUUAUUAUACCCACAUUUGUUUCUCUAAUAGAUAUUUUAAAUUGAUUGAGAGUGAAUGAACCCUGCUAUUGAACACAUCCUUAUUUAUCCAGAUAAUUUGCCUUUCUUUGCUACGAAAAUUGAUUUGUGCCUUUCUUAUUCACUGAGCAAAUUAAGAAGAAAAUAUACUUGCUGAAAUGAUAAAAAUUCCAAUAAUUCAUUAUAAACGUUAUGAUAUUGUAUCACAACACUUCUAACUCAUGUCUCUGACACCUGUCUCUAAUUCUUACUCUCCCUUUCUUUCUAAUAUUAAAAGUCUACUAGAUUGAUCAUCCAAAAUUAAUUAUGAUUUUGGCUGCCAGAAUCAUCUCACCAAUAAAUCAAAAUUCUUGAGGGCUAUGGAAAAAACUACUGAGGCAAUUUCUGAAAAAAAAUAUGAAUAUAUUUGAUUAGUCUCAUGACACCAUUCAUACUGUGAAAUCAGGCAAAGUAUUAGCCUAUCACCAAAAGAGAAA
Molecule: long non-coding RNA, 2742 nt
Filed under: Homo sapiens (human)
Lineage: Eukaryota; Metazoa; Chordata; Mammalia; Primates; Hominidae
Description: HSALNT0077835
Source: RNAcentral